Molecule: ribosomal RNA, 825 nt
Filed under: uncultured bacterium
Lineage: Bacteria
Description: bacterial SSU rRNA
Rfam family: Bacterial small subunit ribosomal RNA
Source: RNAcentral
CCGCGGGAUUAGAGUUUGAUCCUGGCUCGGACAAACGCUGGCGGCGUACUUAAGACAUGCAAGUCGAACGGGCGCUUCACCUUCGGGUGGGUGUGCUAGUGGCGGACGGGUGAGUAACGCGUAGGAACCUGUCAUCAAGAGGGGGAUAACGCUGGGAAACCGGCGCUAAUACCGCAUGUGGUCAUGAAAAUGAAGAAAGCAGCAAUGCGCUUGAUGAGGGGCCUGCGUCCGAUUAGCUUGUUGGUGGGGUAAAGGCCUACCAAGGCAUCGAUCGGUAGCUGGUCUGAGAGGAUGGUCAGCCACACUGGGACUGAGACACGGCCCAGACUCCUACGGGAGGCAGCAGUUAGGAAAUUUUCCCAAUGGGCGCAAGCCUGAGGGAGUAACGCCGCGUGGAGGAUGACGGCUUUCGGGUUGUAAACUCCUUUUCUGUGGGAAGAGUAGAAGACGGUACCGCAGGAAUAAGCCUCGGCUAACUACGUGCCAGCAGCCGCGGUAAUACGUAGGAGGCGAGCGUUGUCCGGAAUUACUGGGCGUAAAGAGCGCGUAGGCGGCGCUGUACGACCGAGGUGAAAGCCCCCGGCUCAACUGGGGAGGGUCCUUGGUAACGGCAGUGCUUUGAGUGCAGGAGAGGGAAGUGGAACUCCGGGAGUAGCGGUGAAAUGCGUAGAGACCCGGAGGAACACCAGUGGCGAAGGCGGCUUCCUGGUCUGCAACUGACGCUGUGGCGCGAAAGCUAGGGGAGCAAACGGGAUUAGAUACCCCGGUAGUCCUAGCUGUAAACGAUGGACACUAGGUGUGCGCGGUAUCGACCCCGCGCGUGCC